This 253-nucleotide ribosomal RNA is filed under the name uncultured bacterium. RNAcentral describes it as "partial 16S ribosomal RNA". It matches the Rfam family "Bacterial small subunit ribosomal RNA", at positions 524 to 776 of the family's 1533-position model. The record is from RNAcentral.
UACGAAGGGGGCUAGCGUUGCUCGGAAUGACUGGGCGUAAAGGGCGCGUAGGCGGAUGGCACAGUCAGAUGUGAAAUUCCCGGGCUUAACCUGGGGGCUGCAUUUGAUACGUGUUGUCUUGAGUUCGGAAGAGGGUCGUGGAAUUCCCAGUGUAGAGGUGAAAUUCGUAGAUAUUGGGAAGAACACCUGUGGCGAAAGCGGCGCACUGGACCACAACUGACGCUGAGGCGCGAAAGCUAGGGGAGCAAACAGG